This 423-nucleotide ribosomal RNA is filed under the name uncultured Nitrosospira sp. RNAcentral describes it as "bacterial SSU rRNA". It matches the Rfam family "Bacterial small subunit ribosomal RNA", at positions 198 to 601 of the family's 1533-position model. Lineage: Bacteria; Pseudomonadati; Pseudomonadota; Betaproteobacteria; Nitrosomonadales; Nitrosomonadaceae. The record is from RNAcentral.
GAAGGAAAGCAGGGGAUCGCAAGACCUUGCGCUUUUUGGAGCGGCCGAUGUCUGAUUAGCUAGUUGGUGAGGUAAAGGCUUACCAAGGCGUCGAUCAGUAGCUGGUCUGAGAGGACGACCAGCCACACUGGGACUGAGACACGGCCCAGACUCCUACGGGAGGCAGCAGUGGGGAAUUUUGGACAAUGGGGGAAACCCUGAUCCAGCCAUGCCGCGUGAGUGAAGAAGGCCUUCGGGUUGUAAAGCUCUUUCAGCCGGAACGAAACGGUCACGGCUAAUACCUGUGACUACUGACGGUACCGGAAGAAGAAGCACCGGCUAACUACGUGCCAGCAGCCGCGGUAAUACGUAGGGUGCAAGCGUUAAUCGGAAUUACUGGGCGUAAAGCGUGCGCAGGCGGUUUUGUAAGUCAGAUGUGAAAUC